This 465-nucleotide ribosomal RNA is filed under the name Triticum aestivum (bread wheat). RNAcentral's name for it is "partial small subunit ribosomal RNA". Lineage: Eukaryota; Viridiplantae; Streptophyta; Magnoliopsida; Poales; Poaceae. The record is from RNAcentral.
AUGUCGUCGACGUCGUCCAAGCCGAAGAGAGCAGGUGGCCUCCAGGGCCCCAGGCCGCAGCCGCUGAGCCUGUCGACCCGGCCGUCCAAGAAGCCACGCGUUGGCGGCCACGCCGGAGCAGCCGGGCCUGUGAUCGUGUACGAGAUCACGCCGAGGGUCGUCCACGCCGACCCACACGAGUUCAUGGCCAUCGUGCAGAGGCUCACGGGCAAUUGCAAGCAGCGGCCGUUGACGGCAGCGACGACGUGGCCACCAGAGGCGACGUCCGGAGCUAGGGACGGCAGGGCAUCAACCUCGACGGCCGCGGACGCUUUGGUUCUCACGCUUAGCCAACAGCAGCGUGCGCCGUGUGGUGGUGAUCAUCCGGCACCUUCUUCCCCGGCUGCCGCAUCACCGCUGCUGUCACCCAGCAGCUUCUUCUUCUCCCCGACCACCAUGCAGGCGAUACGGGAGCUCAUCAGCUGA